GUACUGUGCAAACGUUAUUCGGAAUCACUGGGCUUAAAGGGUGCGUAGGCGGUUGAUUAAGUAGGGUGUGAAAGCUCUCGGCCUAACCGAGGAAUUGCGCUCUAAACUGAUCGACUUGAGUGAGAUAGGGGUGUGCGGAACUUCCAGUGGAGCGGUGAAAUGUGUUGAUAUUGGAAGGAACGCCGGUGGCGAAAGCGGCACACUGGGUCUCAACUGACGCUGAGGCACGAAAGCCAGGGUAGCGAACGGGGGAUUAGAUACCCCGGUAGUCCUGGCUGUAAACGAUGAGCACUAGACGGGAGGAGCCUCGGCUCAUCCGGUCGCAGCGAAAGCAAUAAGUGCUCCGCCUGGGAGUAUGGUCGCAAGGCUG
This 370-nucleotide ribosomal RNA is filed under the name uncultured organism. RNAcentral describes it as "partial 16S ribosomal RNA". It matches the Rfam family "Bacterial small subunit ribosomal RNA", at positions 527 to 896 of the family's 1533-position model. The record is from RNAcentral.